This 310-nucleotide ribosomal RNA is filed under the name uncultured eukaryote. RNAcentral's name for it is "partial 18S ribosomal RNA". It matches the Rfam family "Eukaryotic small subunit ribosomal RNA", at positions 1470 to 1796 of the family's 1831-position model. The record is from RNAcentral.
CCCUUAGAUGUUCUGGGCUGCACGCGUGCUACACUGAUUAUUUCAACAAGUGUUUUAACUGGAGAGUUCGCGUAAUCCUGAAAUGUUAUCGUGAUGGGAGUAGAGUAUUGUAUUUGUUAAUCUUUAACGAGGAAUUCCUAGUAAGUGUAGGUUUAUAAGUUGUUCUGAUUACGUCCCUGCCCUUUGUACACACCGCCCGUCGCUCCUACCGAUUGAUUGAUCCGGUGAAUUACAUAGAAUUUUGCGUUUUACAUGACGGAAGACGAAGUGUUUUAAACCUUAUCAUCUAGAGGAAGGAGAAGUCGUAACA